This 448-nucleotide ribosomal RNA is filed under the name uncultured bacterium. Its description in RNAcentral is "bacterial SSU rRNA". It matches the Rfam family "Bacterial small subunit ribosomal RNA", at positions 29 to 490 of the family's 1533-position model. The record is from RNAcentral.
AAUCAACGCUGGCGGCGUGCCUAACACAUGCAAGUCGAACGAGAAAGUCCCCGCAAGGGGAUGAGUACAGUGGCGACCGGGUGAGUAACACGUGACUAACCUACCCUGAAGCGGGGAAUAACCUCGGGAAACCGGGGCUAAUACCGCAUACCUUCCAGAGGGGAAGCUCCUGUGGAGGAAACGAGCAAUCGGCUUUAGGAGGGGGUCGCGCCCGAUUACGGUAGUUGGCGGGGUAAUGGCCCACCAAGCCUUUGANCGGUAGCCGGCCUGAGAGGGCGCACGGCCACACUGGAACUGAAACACGGUCCAGACUCCUACGGGAGGCAGCAGUGGGGAAUUUUGCGCAAUGGGGGAAACCCUGACGCAGCAACGCCGCGUGGAGGAUGAAGUCCCUUGGGACGUAAACUCCUUUCGACCGGGACGAUAAUGACGGUACCGGUGGAAGAAG